AGUGAACGCUGGCGGCAGGCCUAAUACAUGCAAGUCGAACGGCAGCACAGCAGAGCUUGCUCUGUGGGUGGCGAGUGGCGGACGGGUGAGGAAUACAUGGGAAUCUGCCCAGUCGUGGGGGAUAACGUAGGGAAACUUACGCUAAUACCGCAUGCGCCCUUCGGGGGAAAGCCGGGGACCUUCGGGCCUGGCGCGAUUGGAUGAGCCCAUGUCGGAUUAGCUAGUUGGCGGGGUAAUGGCCCACCAAGGCGACGAUCCGUAGCUGGUCUGAGAGGAUGAUCAGCCACACCUGGAACUGAGACACGGUCCAGACUCCUACGGGAGGCAGCAGUAGGGAAUAUUGGACAAUGGGCGCAAGCCUGAUCCAGCCAUGCCGCGUGAGUGAAGAAGGCCCUCGGGUUGUAAAGCUCUUUUGUCCGGAAAGAAAAGCGCCGGGUUAAUACCCUAGUGUCCUGACGGUACCGGAAGAAUAAGCACCGGCUAACUUCGUGCCAGCAC
RNAcentral lists this ribosomal RNA (498 nucleotides) under uncultured bacterium. RNAcentral's name for it is "bacterial SSU rRNA". It matches the Rfam family "Bacterial small subunit ribosomal RNA", at positions 29 to 514 of the family's 1533-position model. The record is from RNAcentral.